UCAGGACGAACGCUGGCGGCGUGCUUCAUACAUGCAAGUCGAACGAGAAGUCACCUUCGGGUGAUGGAAAGUGGCGGACGGGUGAGUAAUGUGUAGAGAAUCUGCCCUAGAGAGAGGGACAACAGUUGGAAACGACUGCUAAUACCUCAUAUGCGCGUAGCUGAGAUGCUAUUCGUGAAAACUCCGGUGCUCUGGGAUGAGUCUGCAUCUGAUUAGCUAGUUGGCGGUGUAAUGGACCACCAAGGCGACGAUCAGUAGCUGGUUUGAGAGGAUGAUCAGCCACAAUGGGACUGAGACACGGCCCAUACUCCUACGGGAGGCAGCAGUAGGGAAUUUUGCGCAAUGGGGGAAACCCUGACGCCAGCAACGCCGCGUGAUUGAAUAAGCCCUUCGGGGUGUAAAGAUCUGUCAGUAGGGACGAAACUUGACGGUACCUACAGAGGAAGCAUCGGCUAACUCCGUGCCAGCCGCUGC
RNAcentral lists this ribosomal RNA (474 nucleotides) under uncultured bacterium. RNAcentral describes it as "bacterial SSU rRNA". It matches the Rfam family "Bacterial small subunit ribosomal RNA", at positions 24 to 518 of the family's 1533-position model. The record is from RNAcentral.